CAGGCCUAACACAUGCAAGUCGAGGGGCAGUAUUAAACUAGUUUACUAGUUUAGAUGGCGACCGGCGCACGGGUGCGUAACGCGUAUGCAACCUACCAUUAACAGGGGGAUAAUCCGAAGAAAUUUGGUCUAAUACCCCAUAACAACUUUGAAGGCAUCUUUAGAGUUUGAAAGUUCCGGCGGUUAAUGAUGGGCAUGCGUUGUAUUAGCUAGUUGGUGAGGUAACGGCUCACCAAGGCUACGAUACAUAGGGGGACUGAGAGGUUAACCCCCCACACUGGUACUGAGACACGGACCAGACUCCUACGGGAGGCAGCAGUGAGGAAUAUUGGUCAAUGGACGCAAGUCUGAACCAGCCAUGCCGCGUGCAGGAUGACGGCUCUAUGAGUUGUAAACUGCUUUUGUACGAGGGUAAAGUUAGGUACGUGUACCUAUUUGAAAGUAUCGUAUGAAUAAGGGUCGGCUAACUCCGUGCCAGCAGCCGCGGUAAUACGGAGGACCCGAGCGUUAUCCGGAUUUAUUGGGUUUAAAGGGUGCGUAGGCGGUUUGAUAAGUUAGAGGUGAAAUUUAGUGGCUUAACCACUAAACUGCCUCUAAUACUGUUGAACUAGAGUGUAGAUGCUGAGGGCGGAAUGUGUAGUGUAGCGGU
This 649-nucleotide ribosomal RNA is filed under the name uncultured bacterium. RNAcentral describes it as "bacterial SSU rRNA". It matches the Rfam family "Bacterial small subunit ribosomal RNA", at positions 43 to 682 of the family's 1533-position model. The record is from RNAcentral.